UAAUAUAUAGUGAUAUCACGAUAAGUUGCAAACUUAUAAAUGCCAAUAGCUAUAUUAA
Molecule: transfer RNA, 58 nt
Filed under: Metacrangonyx goulmimensis
Lineage: Eukaryota; Metazoa; Arthropoda; Malacostraca; Amphipoda; Metacrangonyctidae
Description: transfer RNA Cysteine
Source: RNAcentral